Molecule: ribosomal RNA, 446 nt
Filed under: uncultured bacterium
Lineage: Bacteria
Description: partial 16S ribosomal RNA
Rfam family: Bacterial small subunit ribosomal RNA
Source: RNAcentral
CCUACGGGUGGCAGCAGUCGAGAAUCAUUCACAAUGGGGGAAACCCUGAUGGUGCGACGCCGCGUGGGGGAAUGAAGGUUUUCGGAUUUAAAGCCCCUGUCAUGUGGGAGCAAAUUAAAAAGAUAGUACCAUAAGCGGAAGAGCCGGCUAACUCGGUGCCAGCAGCCGCGGUAAUAAAGAGGUCUCAAGCGUUGUUCGGAAUCACUGGGCGUAAGGCGUGCGUAGGCUGUUUCGUAAGUCGUGGGGGAAAGGCGCGGGCUCAACCCGCGGACGGCACAUGAUACUGCGAGACUAGAGUAAUGGAGGGGGGACCGGAAUUCCCGGUGUAGCAGUGAAAGGCGUAGAUAUCGGGAGGAACACUCGUGGCGAAGGCGGGUUCCUGGACAUUAACUGACGCUGAGGCACGAAGGCCAGGGGAGCGAACGGGAUUAGAUACCCCAGUAGUC